Molecule: ribosomal RNA, 118 nt
Filed under: Pteropus alecto (black flying fox)
Lineage: Eukaryota; Metazoa; Chordata; Mammalia; Chiroptera; Pteropodidae
Source: RNAcentral
GUCUACCACCACGCCACGCUGAACAAGCCCAAUCCGUCUGAUCUCGGAAGCUAAGCAGGGUCGGGCCUGGUUAGUACUUGGAUGGGAGACCACCCGGGAAGACCAGGUGCUGCAGGCG